GGAAGUUUGGCAAUCCAAUCCCUUUUGAUUCCUGUAAAACCAUGAUCUCUUCCAUCAAGAAUUCAUCCACUUUCUCAAAAUUCUUGGUAUGCAGCUCAUUAGAGUAUUGGUUAAGCAUUUCAACAAUUCUAGCUGCAGAGUGCAUUUCUUUCUCAUUAGGAUACUCAUCAAACUCCCCACUUAAUAGAAUUUUCUUCAGUGAAUCCUUUGAUGAACUCAGAAUGCGCAUAAAUGCCGUUAGAGCUUCAGCUACAGAAGUUAGGUGUUGAGGAAGCCUGUUGAGUUCAGCAAGAUUGGCAGCAAGUCUAUCAUUGAUCUUCCUCACAAUUUCAGGCAAGCAUUUUGAAAUGAUGCUUGCUUGAAUACGCACCAGCUUUUGUGCCAAAACAGGAACACUAACCAUCGAUUUAUCAAUCUUCGACAGAAGUGGAUGAGUUGAAAAAAGCCUUUCCUCAUCACUCCUUGCUUCUUCAUAAGACUCAUUCCCAAUUCUAUUCCUCACACAAACAUAGCCAAGCCCUAUAUUCACUUCAUCCGCGGUAACCUUUUCAAGCAGCCCUUCAGGGGCUUUAUCAGCUUUUGUCACAACAGCCAGAGUCCUUUCCCCUGUCUUGUCCACUUUCUGAGACAUUCUAAUAGACUCACAAGUAG
This 651-nucleotide unclassified non-coding RNA is filed under the name Hevea brasiliensis (rubber tree). The record is from RNAcentral. Lineage: Eukaryota; Viridiplantae; Streptophyta; Magnoliopsida; Malpighiales; Euphorbiaceae.